AUUGAACGCUGGCGGCAGGCCUAACACAUGCAAGUCGGGCGGUAACAGGAAUCAGCUUGCUGAUUCGCUGACGAGCGGCGGACGGGUGAGUAAUGUCUGGGAAACUGCCUGAUGGAGGGGGAUAACUACCGGAAACGGUAGCUAAUACCGCAUAACGUCUACGGACCAAAGUGGGGGACCUUCGGGCCUCAUGCCAUCAGAUGUGCCCAGAUGGGAUUAGCUAGUAGGUGGGGUAACGGCUCACCUAGGCGACGAUCCCUAGCUGGUCUGAGAGGAUGACCAGCCACACUGGAACUGAGGCACGGUCCAGACUCCUACGGGAGGCAGCAGUGGGGAAUAUCGCACAAUGGGCGCAAGCCUGAUGCAGCCAUGCCGCGUGUAUGAAGAAGGCCUUCGGGUUGUAAAGUACUUUCAGCGGGGAGGAAGGUGUUGUGGUUAAUAACCGCAGCAAUUGACGUUACCCGCAGAAGAAGCACCGGCUAACUCCGUGCCAGCAGCCGCAGUAA
This 506-nucleotide ribosomal RNA is filed under the name uncultured bacterium. Its description in RNAcentral is "partial 16S ribosomal RNA". It matches the Rfam family "Bacterial small subunit ribosomal RNA", at positions 30 to 523 of the family's 1533-position model. The record is from RNAcentral.